GAGAAGAACAAGUGACUUGUCUAUGAACACACAGUUGGUCUAAGGAUUUAUACUGAAAAUUUAACAACUACCUUUGGAGAUAAUAGGUUUGAACCGGCUCCAGCAUAUUCAUGUAAUAGGGUCACCAAGAAGAGAGAUCAGAAUCUUCACAUUCUUUGCCUAGGACAAGAUAUUCAAAAGAGCCAUUUCACAGGGCCAAAGAAAGACAAAGCAAAACCUGAAUUGUGCCAGGAGAGCACACAGUUCAACAAAUAAGCCAAUCCAGGAAGGACUGAUGCACUUCUAAGCCAAUACAAAGGACUUGAACCUAAAGUGAAGACUCAAGGUUGCGAUGCUUAACAUACAUUAAGACGUAGGCCUUCCUUGUAUCCACACUCUUUGAAAAAAUACUUACAGAUGAGUAUCCCAAACUUGGCUCCUUACCUGGCUCCUAUAAUCUAGUCCCUUUUCUGUCUUUCAUAAUGUGGUAAACUUUCUGUAGU
Molecule: long non-coding RNA, 482 nt
Filed under: Monodelphis domestica (gray short-tailed opossum)
Lineage: Eukaryota; Metazoa; Chordata; Mammalia; Didelphimorphia; Didelphidae
Description: lncRNA (ENSMODG00000045843.1)
Source: RNAcentral